UACAGAGGAGCCAAGCGUUGUCCGGAUUGACUGGGCGUAAAGCGCACGCAGGCGGAUGCGCGCGUGGGGUGUGAAAUCUGGCCGCUUAACGGCCAGGCGCCAUCCCAUACGGCGCGUCUGGAGCCUUGCAGAGGUCGGUGGAAUUGCCGGUGUAGUGGUGAAAUGCGUAGAUAUCGGGAGGAACACCAGUGGCGAAGGCGACUACCUGGCCUGUUCUUGACGCUGAGGCGCGAAAGCUAGGGGAGCAAACGGG
Molecule: ribosomal RNA, 253 nt
Filed under: uncultured bacterium
Lineage: Bacteria
Description: partial 16S ribosomal RNA
Rfam family: Bacterial small subunit ribosomal RNA
Source: RNAcentral